Molecule: ribosomal RNA, 253 nt
Filed under: uncultured bacterium
Lineage: Bacteria
Description: partial 16S ribosomal RNA
Rfam family: Bacterial small subunit ribosomal RNA
Source: RNAcentral
UACGGGGGGGGCAAGCGUUGUUCGGAAUUACUGGGCGUAAAGGGCUCGUAGGCGGCCAACUAAGUCGAACGUGAAAUCCCCGGGCUCAACCCGGGAACUGCGUCCGAGACUGGCAGGCUCGAAUCCGGGAGAGGGAUGUGGAAUUCCAGGUGUAGCGGUGAAAUGCGUAGAUAUCAGGAGGAACACCGGUGGCGAAGGCGCUCAUCUGGCCCAAUACUGACGCUGAGGCGCGAAAGCUAGGGGAGCAAACGGG